GACGAACGCUGGCGGCGUGCCUAAUACAUGCAAGUCGAACGCAUUUUCUUUCACCGUAGCUUGCUACAACGAAAGAAAAUGAGUGGCGAACGGGUGAGUAACACGUGGGUAACCUGCCCAUCAGCGGGGGAUAACACUUGGAAACAGGUGCUAAUACCGCAUAAUUCCAUUUACCGCAUGGUAGAUGGAUGAAAGGCGCUUUUGCGUCACUGAUGGAUGGACCCGCGGUGCAUUAGCUAGUUGGUGGGGUAACGGCCUACCAAGGCUGCGAUGCAUAGCCGACCUGAGAGGGUGAUCGGCCACACUGGGACUGAGACACGGCCCAGACUCCUACGGGAGGCAGCAGUAGGGAAUCUUCGGCAAUGGACACAAGUCUGACCGAGCAACGCCGCGUGAGUGAAGAAGGUUUUCGGAUCGUAAAACUCUGUUGUUAGAGAAGAACAAGGAUGAGAGUGGAAAGUUCAUCCCUUGACGGUAUCUAACCAGAAAGCCACGGCUAACUACGUG
RNAcentral lists this ribosomal RNA (507 nucleotides) under uncultured bacterium. RNAcentral's name for it is "partial 16S ribosomal RNA". It matches the Rfam family "Bacterial small subunit ribosomal RNA", at positions 28 to 507 of the family's 1533-position model. The record is from RNAcentral.